UGGAUAUAGCUCAGUUGGUAGAGUACUUGCCUUGCAUGCACAAGGGGUACAUGCUGGGGUUCAAUCCCCAGCACCAA
This 77-nucleotide transfer RNA is filed under the name Marmota monax (woodchuck). RNAcentral describes it as "tRNA.Ala". The record is from RNAcentral. Lineage: Eukaryota; Metazoa; Chordata; Mammalia; Rodentia; Sciuridae.